GCGGCGGACGGGUGAGUAACACGUGGGCAACCUGCCUGUAAGACUGGGAUAACUUCGGGAAACCGAAGCUAAUACCGGAUAGGAUCUUCUCCUUCAUGGGAGAUGAUUGAAAGAUGGUUUCGGCUAUCACUUACAGAUGGGCCCGCGGUGCAUUAGCUAGUUGGUGAGGUAACGGCUCACCAAGGCAACGAUGCAUAGCCGACCUGAGAGGGUGAUCGGCCACACUGGGACUGAGACACGGCCCAGACUCCUACGGGAGGCAGCAGUAGGGAAUCUUCCGCAAUGGACGAAAGUCUGACGGAGCAACGCCGCGUGAGUGAUGAAGGCUUUCGGGUCGUAAAACUCUGUUGUUAGGGAAGAACAAGUACGAGAGUAACUGCUCGUACCUUGACGGUACCUAACCAGAAAGCCACGGCUAACUACGUGCCAGCAGCCGCGGUAAUACGUAGGUGGCAAGCGUUAUCCGGAAUUAUUGGGCGUAAAGCGCGCGCAGGCGGUUUCUUAAGUCUGAUGUGAAAGCCCACGGCUCAACCGUGGAGGGUCAUUGGAACUGGGGAACUUGAGUGCAGAGAGAAAGCGG
Molecule: ribosomal RNA, 580 nt
Filed under: Priestia aryabhattai
Lineage: Bacteria; Bacillati; Bacillota; Bacilli; Caryophanales; Bacillaceae
Description: bacterial SSU rRNA
Rfam family: Bacterial small subunit ribosomal RNA
Source: RNAcentral